Molecule: ribosomal RNA, 279 nt
Filed under: uncultured bacterium
Lineage: Bacteria
Description: partial 16S ribosomal RNA
Rfam family: Bacterial small subunit ribosomal RNA
Source: RNAcentral
UGCCAGCAGCCGCGGUAAUACAGAGGGUGCAAGCGUUAAUCGGAAUUACUGGGCGUAAAGCGCGCGUAGGUGGUUUAUUAAGUCGGAUGUGAAAGCCCUGGGCUCAACCUGGGAACUGCGUUCGAAACUGGUAAGCUAGAGUAUGGUAGAGGGAAGUGGAAUUUCCGGUGUAGCGGUGAAAUGCGUAGAUAUCGGAAGGAACACCAGUGGCGAAGGCGGCUUCCUGGACCAAUACUGACACUGAGGUGCGAAAGCGUGGGGAGCAAACAGGAUUAGAUA